Molecule: transfer RNA, 92 nt
Filed under: Leclercia adecarboxylata
Lineage: Bacteria; Pseudomonadati; Pseudomonadota; Gammaproteobacteria; Enterobacterales; Enterobacteriaceae
Description: tRNA-Thr(ggt)
Source: RNAcentral
UCCCGUGCUGGCGGGACGCUUCUGCGGCCUCAAAGGUGGUGGGGAAUUCGGCGAUCACGCUGCCGAGCUGGUGCGACUCCAGCACAUGAUCC